AAUGGCCUAACGGCUGAACCAGCAAUUAGGAAGAAUGUAUAGUGUAUACUAGUUGUUAUUUAAUUUAUUAAAAACAAUAUCGACUACGUCGAAUAAAGUUCUGGGUAGGAAAAUGAUAAUGACAAUUUACUAUUCAUAUGUCUUGACCAAUUCACGUGCCAGCAGUCGCGGUAAUACGUGGAAGACUAGUGUUAUUCAUCUUUAUUGGGUUUAAAGGGUACCUAGACGGUAUGUUUAGCCCUAAUAGGGUACUAAUAUACUAGAGUUUUAUGUGAGUAGGGGAGAACUCUUGAAGUAGAGAUGAAAUUCAGUGAUAACAAGAGGACUGAUGUAGGCGAAGGCAACCUUCUAUGUAAAAACUGACGUUGAGGGACGAAGGCUUGGGUAGCGAUUAGGAUUAGAUACCCUAGUAGUCCUGGCAGAAAAUUAUGAAUGUCAUAGGCUAGAUUUGAUCUAUUCUAUAAAUGAAAGUGUAAGCAUUCCACCUCAAGAGUAAUGUGGCAACACAGAAACUGAAAUCAUUAGACCGUUUCUGAAACCAGUAGUGAAGUAUGUUGUUUAAUUCGAUAAUCCGCGAAAAACCUUACCACAAUUUGAAUAAAAAAUACAAGCGCUGCACGGCUGUCUUCAGUUAAUGUCGUGAGAUUUUGGUUAGUUCCAUUAAUUAACGUAAACCCUUACUUUAUUUAUCUUAAGAUUUAUUUCAAUAAAGUAGUUCGCCCACUAUACCGGGUAAGAUAAGAGGGACUAAGACAAGUCAUCAUGGCCUUAAUAUUGUGGGCUAUAGACGUGCCACAUAAACCUUCACAAAGGGAUGCUAUAUUGCGAAAUGGAGCUAAUCCCCAAAAAAGGAUAUAAAAU
This 861-nucleotide ribosomal RNA is filed under the name Chaenothecopsis sp. RNAcentral's name for it is "SSU rRNA". It matches the Rfam family "Bacterial small subunit ribosomal RNA", at positions 370 to 1294 of the family's 1533-position model. Lineage: Eukaryota; Fungi; Ascomycota; Eurotiomycetes; Mycocaliciales; Mycocaliciaceae. The record is from RNAcentral.